Long non-coding RNA from Dreissena polymorpha, 622 nucleotides. RefSeq lists it as uncharacterized. The record is from RefSeq and is a predicted model, not a curated record. NCBI's taxonomy places the organism in Eukaryota, Metazoa, Mollusca, Bivalvia, Myida, Dreissenidae. The transcript has 3 exons.
CCUCUCUUUUGCAGUGUGUUCUUGACAGUCAAAGUGUCAGCAGUCAGUUUUUUUGAUUGAGCUGCAGAUUUUUAUAUAUCUUCAUUAGUAUUACUUUUUACCAGUUUUAACCAUCACUAGUCAGUGAGACAAGAGAGAGGCGGACAGACAGGUGUAAAAGCCCAAACAACAUUUGGGCUUGAAAAGUCUUGAGCAAACCUACAGGGAAUAUUGUAAUCCUUCAGUAUUACAUCAUGAACAUUUUCUUAUGAACAUUAUUAUGAAAUUGAAUAUAUUAUUAAACGAAACAAUUGCUUUAAGUUUUAUAUACUGACCAUAAUGAAAUUCGACCUUGAACCCAACUAAAAGACACUAUAUUACAUGUAUAUCCAUCUUAACGAUGUUAAAUUAAAUGCUAUUGUUGUACUGAUUAAAGAGAAUACACGUUUGCGUAUGUCUAUUAAUAAUGGGCUUCUCGUGUACAUGGAAUAACGGACAUGAGCGUUUACGAUUGUAUGGUAUAAAUAUAAUAAAAUGCAUACUGCAUGGUUUUAUUCCACCAGAUUUCAUGGAUUUCAACGUAUGUCUAGCAAAAUAUCUACCACUAUUAUAACAGUAAUACAUGUUUAACAUACUCACUUGU